RNAcentral lists this long non-coding RNA (1398 nucleotides) under Citrus x clementina. RNAcentral describes it as "Citrus clementina (C. clementina) long non-coding RNA (CCLE_LNC004540)". Lineage: Eukaryota; Viridiplantae; Streptophyta; Magnoliopsida; Sapindales; Rutaceae. The record is from RNAcentral.
AUAUUUUACUAUUUACACACGGUAAUCUCCAACAAAUUCUCAAUUUUUUUUUUCCCAAGUGACAAUGUUCUUCAUGCAAAUAUGCUGUAGCACGCACGAAACUACUCUGCUAACUUCAUUUUCAAAACUCAUUGUCCCAUUUUUGUUGCACAUCAAGAACUACUUGUCUAGAAAUUUCUUUAAUUUUUUUUCCUAAAUGAUAAUUGAUGUGAGCCAAAACUGAUUUUUUUUUUGGGGGUAUUUUGGGGUUUUUGAGUCUUUAAGAUCAGCUAUUGCUAAAUCACAAAUUAGAUUGCUUUCCUCCAGAUUUCCCAACUCAUUUUUUUCGCAAAGCCAUAUGAACAUGAUACGAUAAAUAAGGGAAAAGAAAAUGGGGUCAUAUUUGGAACUUUGUCAAUGCUGAAACAAGGUUAUGUUUGAAAUUAGAAAGAGUAUAUAGAGUAAAAUUUUUAUUUUUAAUUUUUAAAAAUAAGUGUAAAAAGUAAAUAGAUCUUCAGCGUAUCAAUUAGAGAGCAUAUAUUCCAUCCUUUUAAUUUAUAGUGACUAGAAAAUAACUAAUUGAGGUGAUAUAAGAGAUUUAAGAAUUCGAAUCAUACAUUCCAAUUAUACCAUAAGCUAGAAUAGGGGAUUUUGUUCAGUUGUAUGACUUAUAGUGUGUGAUUUGUGUGCAUCUGAUCAUUACUCAUGAGGAUGAGAAUUGAAUAGAACUAGAGUUAACUUAAUGCCUAGCUACUUAUUACAAAUAUUGGGGUGUGUGGAUCUAAAAACUUUUCAUCGAGCAAAUUUUUUUCUGUUCAUGCUCGAUGGCGAUGAUUUUUCUUCUCCAAUAAAUAAUGUAUUGAUUUCAUAUAACAUCUUAUAUAUGUCAGUGAGAUUGAUAUUGUUCACGAUCCAUAUUUUUUCUAAGUAAUACCUGAAUGAUAUAUAUUGCUUGUGGAAUCUUAGUAAUAACUAAACCUCAACAAUGUAAUUUCAUUUAUAGGUUGAACUCCCUUUAAAAAAAAAAAAAGGAGAAAAAGAAGAAGAAGAGAAACUAUAUAUUUGGUCAAUAGAGUCGUUGCCAAUCAGUAAAUAAAAAAUAAAUUCAUCUAAAUUUUAUAAUUAUCAGCAGCUGUUGUUGUCUCACUCUCAUAAUGUCAAAGACACAGAAUUUUGAUGCGUGCACGUGUUAUUUAGCAAUGGCUCUAUUCAAUUCAGGCUUUCCACCCCCCUACUCUACUCCUUGAGUCAAAAAUUAAACUAGCUUUCAGUCUUGUAAUUGCAGUUUUUCCACAAAUUAAAGUUCACGUCGCUUUCGCUUUUUCAUUCUUCUUUAGAUUUUUUUUUUAAUGCUUUUCAGAAAUCACUCAAUACUUAUCGCUAUCUUUUAAUUAUUGGAUAUUGAAAAUUUAAUGCAAU